RNA transcript from Syngnathoides biaculeatus (alligator pipefish), 4766 nucleotides. It is a transcript of the gene named Ig-like V-type domain-containing protein FAM187A, with no coding region annotated. Lineage: Eukaryota; Metazoa; Chordata; Actinopteri; Syngnathiformes; Syngnathidae. The transcript is spliced from 8 exons. The record is from RefSeq and is a predicted model, not a curated record.
CCAACUAAUUUGAGACACCUUGUACAAUAUUUGAGUAGUGCAUUUUGAACCUAUUAGUUCAUGGAGGCUUCCGUCUGUUCGGAGCAUCAAUGAAAGGACGGAGGGUGCCGGACUUCAAUGAGAUGAUUAUUUCUUCCACCAUUUGACUUUGUGACGUGAAUACGACAGAGAGGGAGAUAUAGUGUGUAUGAGUGUGUGUCUGUGUGUAGAGAGCGAGAGACUGUAUGUAUGUAUGUAUGUAUGUAUGUAUAUGUAUGUGUGUCUGUCCGCCCGCGCCGUCUCGGGCACUUAUGUGCAGACUCAAACUCAGUCGCUUGUAUCAUUAGCAUGCUGCUGAAAUCUCGGAAAUGUACCGCCUUCACCUCAACGGUGUGACUAUGAUGUGCUUCUGUGUAGAUCGUUGGAACGUUUAUCAAUUCUGACAACAACUCUUAUCUUGUUGGACUAUUUCAAUCAUGUUACCCAAUAAGUUGAUCCAAACCAAUUCCCAUGCAGAACGGGUUGUCUUAAAAUGAUCUAUCUAUCUAUCUUGUAUAAUCUAUUUUUUAAAAGCAAGGCAGUUUUAUAUAGUCUUGAAGUGCAUCCUUAGGUUGCAGUCACCAAGUUUAUGAAAAGUGUUCCGGGGAAUUUUCCCAGUAGGGCAGAAAUGUACGGCUCCCUAAAAUUCUGCAAUGUAGAAUGAGUAGAGUAAAUUAAAAAGGUGAUCAUUUUAUUUUAAAAUUCUUAUUUGAAGGUUUUAAGACACCAAUGGAAGCACCAUGUUCUCAACAACAAAGACUAUGUUGUUAAUUUGAGCCACCACUCACGCUCGAAGGUCUUCGGUCAUAAGCCUGACCCUCUCCAAAAGAGGCCUGUGCAUGUUUCCGCUCUUAAUUCUCCUCCUCCUCGCCAAGGCGUGGAGCUACGAGGCUCCCAAGGAAAAGCAGGAUGUGUUUGCAAAAAAAGCCUGCCCGGCUUUCCUGUUAUUUUUCAACGCCGCUUACCAGGCGGGGGCCACGGUGGAGCUGCCGUGCCACUGUAAGCCCGAAGAGGUGCAGUCAGUCGUUUGGUUCUAUAGGAAACACAAGUCCAGCUCAGAAGAGACCCGAGCCCUGACCGAUUACCAUGGGAACAAGCUGCUGGACUCAAGUCAAAUCCCCCACAAUGCCGACCUGCGCAGUCGCUUCUCAAUUCGUCUCUUCAGCCUUCUGAUCUUUCGAACAACUGUGGACGACUCGGGUGUUUAUAUCUGUGGAUCGGCCCGAGGCGACUACUUCUAUGCCUACGAUCUGGACAUCCAGGAGGUGCGGGAAUUCAGCUUCACGUCAAGGCACACUCCUGAAAGUCAGAGCAACUCGAUGGAAUACGUAAAGGGACAAAGCUCUGGUCAGCAGCUCUAUCAAGUCUUCACCACUUUCCGCCCGUGGUCACGGUGCGACCGCUGUGGCGUGCGGGGCGAGCAGGUCCGAGUGGGGCUCUGCUACGUCCGCUCCCGCUUCCUGCACGUGCGUUACAGGCGGGUCAACCACACCGUGGCGUCCUGCGGCUCAGGGGCGGUGCCUCAGGCAUUCGGUCACAUAAAGCAAAGCGGAACUGGAGCCAGGCUGGAGGUCAGAAGCUGCCGUGUGACUUGUCCAACUGAAGCGCCGCCUCCUUCCAAACUGGAUAAAAUGAUGGCAUCUGUGGGGCACAGUUCUGAUUCCAUAAAGAGCCAGGAGAUGCAUGUUUCCCACGUGAACCACCCAGCUGACCAAAUCCUGAUCCUCGGCUGCCCAGGGGCACAGCCAUACAUUGCAGUGGCGUGGGACAGAGGAUCUGAGCCCAUUUAUCGAUCACACCGUUUGGUCGGACGGGAUGCAAACGUCACGUCUUUGAGAAUUCAAAUUGAUGCUGGACAUCAUCUUGUCUUCACUCCUGCUCAGCUUCAGGAUUCGGGUGUCUACUUCUGCUGGCUAAAGGGGCGCCGUGUGACCGAAAUACACCUGCUGGUCUACCCCCAUUUUGGGCGGGGCAUGUUCUUCACAUCUCAUCCAGACUUGCCCUUGGCCUUGGAGAUCAUUUUCAAAUCAUAUGCUGCUAUGACAGCAGUGUUCUGCCUACUGAUUCUCAUUCGAGUCUGCAUUAGACAACUCCGGAGGGACACGCAUCGGGACCCAACUUAAUCGAGUUGCAGUUGGAGUUGGAGUUGGUCUUUUUUUUUUUUUUUUUUGUGGCAGCACCAAACCAGACUGUGAUGGAUGGACACAGGACUGAUUUGAUGGCUGUUGUGUAGAACUACCCCAACGUCUCUUGUGGCAGGCCGGGCUUCCUAUGAACCUGCAUGAAGUACAUCCUCUGCUGGGCCUCUUUUGAGGAUGGAGUUGGUCUCCUACUUCAGGCCCGGAGAAACUAAUUUUUCCAGAAGUUUGAAGGUCUUGACGGUUGACGCAGGGUACUUGAACAGCGUAAGGGAAAGUUCUGGCCAAGGAUGCUUCCUGAAGUCCACUAUCAUCUCUAGUCUUAAGCGUGUUCCACACCUGGUUUUGUCAGCUGGUCCAAGGUCCACCCGUGCCACUUCGUGUCAAUAUGCAACCCGUCACCAUCUUUGAUGAGGCCGAUGGUUAUGUUGUUUACUGCAAAUGUCAGAAUAAGUGCAAUCGUUUGGAGUCCAUUUGGACAUUUGUUGCAUACCCAUCCUAUGGAGGGUUUCCUGACGGGUACCAUUUGGCCAACUGAAAUGCAGCUUUGGUAGUCUGUGAACCAAAAACUCAGGCAUGGGAAGACUUUGGUGAAGCCAUUAAAAAAGACUUUCAGACCGGUUCAAGGAAAUUCUGAUCCACCAUCUUGUGUCUCAGGAGGGAGAAGCAGUGCACCGUCAACACUGUGUAUAGUGGGUAAGGGACACUGCUGACCUUUUAAAUUAGUGGGGAAUCGAACAAUAUCUAAAGACCAGCAGGACUCACUGGCCACAGUUAAGUUCAGUAUUCGUGACACUACCAUAAGAAAGACCCUGGCCAAAAAUCGCAUCCCCUGGAGAGCUCCCAUGCAAAAUGCUAUGCAGUCAGCAAAGAAUACAAAGGCUCAUCUCACAUUUGCCCCAAAACAUCUUGAUCCUCAAGACGUUUGGAGAAGCAUUCUGUUGACUGACAAGUCAAAAAUUGAAGUGCGAGGAGAACACAUGGAGGUGAUUUGUUCCACUGAAGCACCUCGUAGGCCUGAUGAAGCGGCGACUAGAGGCAACAAAAUGGAGAGAGUGUGAAGAGGAUGCCACCUGUGGAGGAACAAGAGUCCAACUCGUACUUUCUCAACAAAUGAGAGAAUAUACAACAGAAAUUUCAGUCCCCCCAACCCACCCUUUGGACGAUUGUCGCUCUUCUCUAACAGCACCCAAAUUCUCCAGUCUCUAAAACACCUGCAGGUCCUAUAUGAAGCCAUACAAGGCUCAAGCUAUUAGGAGUCAUUACAAGAUCACAUGCAACAAUUUAACAUUCAUAACUUCUACUCAGUUGCUGAACACAAGUGGUAAUAGUUACAUUACACAGUUGAAGGGCCAGGCGACAGUUGGCAUACGACUGAGCACAUCGGGAGGUUCUGGGUUUGAAUCUUGGCUCCAGCCUUCAUGUCUUGAGUUUGCUUGUUCACCACAUCAGGAGUUGAGUGUCUAAAGAUUUUGCAGCCAACCAUAACAUGAUGAAAAUCAAGUUAAAUUUGGUUAAUCAAUGUCAUCAUUGAUAUCUUUUCAAAACAGUACAGUGGUUCCCAACCAUUGCUGGACCACAAACAGCUCAAACAUGAAGACAUUUUGGUGGAGCGACAUGGAAAGUAAAUGAUUAAAAAUGAAAAUCACCAAUAUGUGGAAUGAUGGGGGCGCAGUGACUCACCUGGUAAAGCGUUGGCCUCACAGUUCUGAGGUCCCGGGUUCUAUCUUGGUCCCGCCUGUGUGGAGUUUGCAUGUUCUCCCCGUGCUUGCGUGGAUUUCCUCCAGGCACUCCGGUCUCCUCCCACAUCCCAAAAAUAUGCAACAUUGAUUGGACAUUCCAAAUUGCCCCUAUGUGUGAUUGUGAGUGCGGAUAUUUGUCUCCAUGUGCCCUGCAAUUGGUUGGCAACCAGUUCGGGGUGUACCCCGCCUCCUGCCCGUUGACGGCUGGGAUAGGCUCCAGUGCUCCCCGUGACCUCGUGAGGAUAAGCAGCAAAGACACUGGAUGAAUGGAUGGAUGGAUGUUGAAUGAUGUAAUACAGAAAAUGGUAAAAUAAACCCCCCUUAAAUUAUUUUUCUGGGUGUGAUUUACCAAAGUUUUCAUUAUUACGAGUUCAUUCACUACCAAACCAGCUGGUGGUGGUGUACAUGAGCUGUAGACUAGAGGGUAAGCACUGGUGCAUCUUCAGAUGUAAAUGCUGUGGCUGACUGAGGAAUAUGUCCUUUUGUUUUUUACAUAGGUACAUCAAAAAAUAGGUUAUUUCGCUAGAUCUCGGCUGUAAAGGUUUAAAUUUUUUGUAUUCUAUUUUGUAAAGUAUUGUAUGAUAUUGAUUGAGGCUAGGACAGUAAAAUUUAUUGGGUUAUGUAAGGUUUGUAUAUUGUGUACUUAAGGUUAAUUUGAACGUAAAAAGGCGCGUCACCUUCAUUUAAUUUUUUUUCAACGCUUUAAUUAGCUUUUUGGUUUGUUUAUAUACUUGUUUAUAUGAUUGUUUGUGUAGACCAUGUAUGGUAAAUAGGAAAAUAAAAUCAAAUCCAACUUUGGCUCAGCCACCAUUUUCCCUUUCCACAAAAUCUCCAAAGACACUUUUGCUGCCGUUUUUAAGUACUGUUA